Molecule: long non-coding RNA, 1480 nt
Filed under: Canis lupus familiaris (dog)
Lineage: Eukaryota; Metazoa; Chordata; Mammalia; Carnivora; Canidae
Description: lncRNA (ENSCAFG00000053863.1)
Source: RNAcentral
UAAAUCUACAGUGGAACUAAUCGAGAACCAAACUCUUUGGUGCUUGGUGGUGGUUAUAUGCUGAAGCCACAUGGUUUCUCAAGAUUUCUUGGCUUUUCCUACAGCUGUGGCAGGCAUCGGCUUCAGUUCCAGACAGGAAGUUGGCCCGGACACACACCAGCCACAUCUGUGCUGUGGUUCCUACAGCCUCCACCACCGACUGCAUCUCACUUCCCUCCAUAGGCCUGCCCUGGACUCAGAGCACCUAGAAGGCUGCCCUGCUUGGAAGCAGCCUUUGUGCAACCCAGGUGUGACAUGGAAAUAAUACACAUGGAAGCUUCAUUUGUCUGUUGAUAAACUUCUUGCCAUAAUCCUGCCAGUUCCUCAGAUUCCUGCAAUUUUUAACUGUGUUCUCCUACUUUGAGAAUCCUAAGGACAUAAACCUUUAACAUUUCCUUACAAGUCUGUAUGUCAUGAUGGUGAAACCCAGAUUUGCCACCGCUGGUCCUAGUUUUCUGGGGUUGGGAGUCAAAAUGUGAGCAAGUUCAGAUGACCUUGCCUAUGAAUCCCCCAGGAUCUCUCUAGGCCAAGAAAACAAAAGCCUUUCCGGUACUGCUGAUGCGGUGCUUCAGGAGCAUCCUGUCUGCCUGGACUCAUUCAGAAGCCCUUCUUCUCUGUGUGGCUCAACUAUGGGACAUCUGAUGGUGGCUCGGCUCACAUGUAUGUUUGAUUUCCUCCGUGGAAGACGAAAAAGGAACCAGACCAAAUGCAAUUUUAAAAAGUAGUGUAACACUUCUGGCAUGGACCUGGAAAAUCUAGAAUCCAAUCUUAGCUCUGCUGCCACCUGACUGCGCACCUCUCAGCAAAUUACUUCGCUUCUCUGGGCCCAAGUUUGCUUAUCUUUAGAGUGGAGAGGUGGGGCGGUGCUAUAGGAUUCCUCUAGCUCUCACAUGUCAAGAUCCUUUUUAAACAUACAUUUUCGUUUUUUACAACAGAGGAAAAGAAGAUACAUCUAACACUUUUCUGUUCACCACAAAGUCUAAAGCAUCAGAACUCACCAAUAUUCCUUUGUAUCAAAUUUCUCUGUGUUGAUUGUCUAACCUGGUUUCAAUCCUCUUUCCCCCUCACAGGGGGAACAGCUAUUCUAAGUAUAGUGUUUAUUAUUCUUUGCAUUUCUUUAUACUUUCAUGAUAGACAUUUGUACUGGUAAGCAAUAUAUGGUACUGUCAUGCCUCUUUUAACUAGAGGUAUAUAGACCGUACUUUAGUCUAUGUAUAGAGUCUAUGUAUAUUCUUUUGCACAUGGGAUUUUUUUUGUUUGAAAUUAUGUACAUGAGAGUCUUAUAUGCUGGCAGAAUUUUAUUAAUUUUUCUGUGUUAUAAGAUAGCUUAUUAAGAAUAUGCUGAAUAUAUGUAUGGAUUAUCCAGCUUUCCUUUGAUUUGUUAUUAUAAACAUCAAUAUUUUGGUAUAUGUGGCUUUAUAUACAAAGCUAUAUUCUUAGG